This 334-nucleotide unclassified non-coding RNA is filed under the name Melitaea cinxia (Glanville fritillary). RNAcentral's name for it is "misc RNA ENSMCXG00005000300.1". The record is from RNAcentral. Lineage: Eukaryota; Metazoa; Arthropoda; Insecta; Lepidoptera; Nymphalidae.
ACCGACUUCCAAAAAAGGAGGAGGUUCUCAAUUCGACUGUAUUUUUUUUUUUUUUUUUUUUUUUUUUUUUUUUUUUUUUUUUUUUUUUUAUGUAUGUUACAUCAGAACUUUUGACCGGGUUGACCGAUUUCGACAAAUUUUGUUUUAAUCGAAAGGUGGUGUGUGCCAAUUGGUCCCAUUUAAAUUUAUUUGAGAUCUAACUACUACUUUUCGAGCUAUAUCUAAUAAUGCGUUUUUACUUGACGCUUUUUUCGUCGACCUGCGUUGUAUUAUACCACAUAACUUUCUACUGGAUGUACCGAUUUUGAUCAUUCUUUUUUUGUUAGAAAAGAGA